UGUAUAAUGGGUCAGCGACUUAUAUUCUGUAGCAAGGUUAACCGUAUAGGGGAGCCGAAGGGAAACCGAGUCUUAACUGGGCGUUAAGUUGCAGGGUAUAGACCCGAAACCCGGUGAUCUAGCCAUGGGCAGGUUGAAGGUUGGGUAACACUAACUGGAGGACCGAACCGACUAAUGUUGAAAAAUUAGCGGAUGACUUGUGGCUGGGGGUGAAAGGCCAAUCAAACCGGGAGAUAGCUGGUUCUCCCCGAAAGCUAUUUAGGUAGCGCCUCGUGAACUCAUCUUCGGGGGUAGAGCACUGUUUCGGCUAGGGGGCCAUCCCGGCUUACCAACCCGAUGCAAACUACGAAUACCGAAGAAUGUUAUCACGGGAGACACACGGCGGGUGCUAACGUCCGUCGUGAAGAGGGAAACAACCCAGACCGCCAGCUAAGGUCCCAAAGUCAUGGUUAAGUGGGAAACGAUGUGGGAAGGCACAGACAGCCAGGAUGUUGGCUUAGAAGCAGCCAUCAUUUAAAGAAAGCGUAAUAGCUCACUGGUCGAGUCGGCCUGCGCGGAAGAUGUAACGGGGCUAAACCAUGCACCG
RNAcentral lists this ribosomal RNA (586 nucleotides) under Enterobacter asburiae. RNAcentral describes it as "partial 23S ribosomal RNA". It matches the Rfam family "Bacterial large subunit ribosomal RNA", at positions 609 to 1196 of the family's 2925-position model. The record is from RNAcentral. Lineage: Bacteria; Pseudomonadati; Pseudomonadota; Gammaproteobacteria; Enterobacterales; Enterobacteriaceae.